AGCUUUGCGCAGUGGCAGUAUCGUAGCCAAUGAGGUUUAUCCGAGGCGCGAUUAUUGCUAAUUAUUGCUAAUUGAA
Small nuclear RNA from Neogale vison (American mink), 76 nucleotides. Its record names the gene U4. It matches the Rfam family "U4 spliceosomal RNA". From Rfam's summary of the family: U4 small nuclear RNA (U4 snRNA) is a component of the major U2-dependent spliceosome. The structure of U4 snRNA from yeast and human has been reported. U4 snRNA presents a k-turn RNA motif in the 5p-SL related to recognition of Snu13 protein. NCBI's taxonomy places the organism in Eukaryota, Metazoa, Chordata, Mammalia, Carnivora, Mustelidae. The record is from Ensembl.